This 1434-nucleotide ribosomal RNA is filed under the name uncultured organism. RNAcentral's name for it is "16S ribosomal RNA". It matches the Rfam family "Bacterial small subunit ribosomal RNA". The record is from RNAcentral.
UAACACAUGCAAGUCGAGGGGCAGCAUGGUUUUAGCUUGCUAAGGCCGAUGGCGACCGGCGCACGGGUGAGUAACACGUAUCCAACCUGCCGUCUACUCUUGGACAGCCUUCUGAAAGGAAGAUUAAUACAAGAUGGCAUCAUGAGUCCGCAUGUUCACAUGAUUAAAGGUAUUCCGGUAGACGAUGGGGAUGCGUUCCAUUAGAUAGUAGGCGGGGUAACGGCCCACCUAGUCUUCGAUGGAUAGGGGUUCUGAGAGGAAGGUCCCCCACAUUGGAACUGAGACACGGUCCAAACUCCUACGGGAGGCAGCAGUGAGGAAUAUUGGUCAAUGGGCGAGAGCCUGAACCAGCCAAGUAGCGUGAAGGAUGACUGCCCUAUGGGUUGUAAACUUCUUUUAUAAAGGAAUAAAGUCGGGUAUGGAUACCCGUUUGCAUGUACUUUAUGAAUAAGGAUCGGCUAACUCCGUGCCAGCAGCCGCGGUAAUACGGAGGAUCCGAGCGUUAUCCGGAUUUAUUGGGUUUAAAGGGAGCGUAGAUGGAUGUUUAAGUCAGUUGUGAAAGUUUGCGGCUCAACCGUAAAAUUGCAGUUGAUACUGGAUAUCUUGAGUGCAGUUGAGGCAGGCGGAAUUCGUGGUGUAGCGGUGAAAUGCUUAGAUAUCACGAAGAACUCCGAUUGCGAAGGCAGCCUGCUAAGCUGCAACUGACAUUGAGGCUCGAAAGUGUGGGUAUCAAACAGGAUUAGAUACCCUGGUAGUCCACACGGUAAACGAUGAAUACUCGCUGUUUGCGAUAUACAGCAAGCGGCCAAGCGAAAGCGUUAAGUAUUCCACCUGGGGAGUACGCCGGCAACGGUGAAACUCAAAGGAAUUGACGGGGGCCCGCACAAGCGGAGGGACAUGUGGUUUAAUUCGAUGAUACGCGAGGAACCUUACCCGGGCUUAAAUUGCAGAUGAAUUACGGUGAAAGCCGUAAGCCGCAAGGCAUCUGUGAAGGUGCUGCAUGGUUGUCGUCAGCUCGUGCCGUGAGGUGUCGGCUUAAGUGCCAUAACGAGCGCAACCCUUGUUGUCAGUUACUAACAGGUUCCGCUGAGGACUCUGACAAGACUGCCAUCGUAAGAUGUGAGGAAGGUGGGGAUGACGUCAAAUCAGCACGGCCCUUACGUCCGGGGCUACACACGUGUUACAAUGGGGGGUACAGAGGGCCGCUACCACGCGAGUGGAUGCCAAUCCCCAAAACCUCUCUCAGUUCGGACUGGAGUCUGCAACCCGACUCCACGAAGCUGGAUUCGCUAGUAAUCGCGCAUCAGCCACGGCGCGGUGAAUACGUUCCCGGGCCUUGUACACACCGCCCGUCAAGCCAUGGGAGCCGGGGGUACCUGAAGUGCGUAACCGCGAGGAGCGCCCUAGGGUAAAACUGGUGACUGGGGCUAAGUC